GGACUACAAGGGUAUCUAAUCCCGUUCGCUCCCCUGGCUUUCGCGCCUCAGCGUCAGGAGGGAUCCAGCAGCUCGCUUUCGCCACCGGCGUUCCUUCCGAUAUCUACGCAUUUCACCGCUCCACCGAAAGUUCCAGCUGCCCCUAUCCCGCUCGAGACCGCCAGUCUCAAAGGCACUUCCCCGGUUGGGCCGGGGGCUUUCACCCCUGACUUGGCGGUCCGCCUACGCGCCCUUUAAGCCCAGUGAAUCCGAACAACGUUCGCACGGUUCGUCUUACCGCGGCGGCUGGCAC
Molecule: ribosomal RNA, 292 nt
Filed under: uncultured bacterium
Lineage: Bacteria
Also listed under: 1 other name
Description: partial 16S ribosomal RNA
Source: RNAcentral